CAGCCGCCGCGGUAACACGGAGGGAGCUAGCGUUGUUCGGAAUUACUGGGCGUAAAGCGCGCGUAGGCGGUUACUCAAGUCAGAGGUAAAAGCCCGGGGCUCAACCCCGGAACUGCCUUUGAAACUAGGUGACUAGAAUCUUGGAGAGGUCAGUGGAAUUCCGAGUGUAGAGGUGAAAUUCGUAGAUAUUCGGAAGAACACCAGUGGCGAAGGCGACUGACUGGACAAGUAUUGACGCUGAGGUGCGAAAGCGUGGGGAGCAAACAGGAUUAGAUACCCCCGUAGUCCCUGUCUCUUAUAC
Molecule: ribosomal RNA, 301 nt
Filed under: uncultured bacterium
Lineage: Bacteria
Description: partial 16S ribosomal RNA
Rfam family: Bacterial small subunit ribosomal RNA
Source: RNAcentral